Ipomoea nil (Japanese morning glory) is the source of this 143-nucleotide long non-coding RNA. RefSeq lists it as uncharacterized. NCBI's taxonomy places the organism in Eukaryota, Viridiplantae, Streptophyta, Magnoliopsida, Solanales, Convolvulaceae. The transcript is spliced from 2 exons. The record is from RefSeq and is a predicted model, not a curated record.
GAUGGUAUCCAUUUGAAAAGAAGCCAUGUGAAGAUGCAUUGUACCAAAUGCAAGAAGGAAGGCCACAACAAAAGAAAAUGCCCUGAAGAUCCUGCUGUUAGGGAGAGAUUGGCCAAUCCAAAGAAAAGAGUUAGGGCAAAGGC